This 216-nucleotide long non-coding RNA is filed under the name Capsicum annuum. Its description in RNAcentral is "long non-coding RNA (CANN_LNC015358)". The record is from RNAcentral. Lineage: Eukaryota; Viridiplantae; Streptophyta; Magnoliopsida; Solanales; Solanaceae.
GGGAUAGGGUCAUUCCUGCCAGCAGAGGGUUUGACCCUUAGUAGCAAUCCUUGAAUUAUAGAACUAUGUAGCCAGCAUACGUUGAGAUACCCUCCUUCUUGAUUAGGGUUGAUACAUCUUGUAUGAGUUUUCCUGUUAGUGAGGGUUGAAGAAAGAGCUUCUUGUAAAAGAGGGUUAACUCAUAGUUGUCUUUACCCAUGGCACGGUACUGACACC